AUUGAACGCUGGCGGCAUGCCUUACACAUGCAAGUCGAACGGCAGCACGGGAGCAAUCCUGGUGGCGAGUGGCGAACGGGUGAGUAAAGUAUCGGAACGUGCCCAGUCGUGGGGGAUGACGUAGCGAAAGUUACGCUAAUACCGCAUACGAACUAUGGAUGAAAGCGGGGGAUCGCAAGACCUCGCGCGAUUGGAGCGGCCGAUAUCAGAUUAGGUAGUUGGUGGGGUAAAGGCUCACCAAGCCGACGAUCUGUAGCUGGUCUGAGAGGACGACCAGCCUCACUGGGACUGAGACACGGCCCAGACUCCUACGGGAGGCAGCAGUGGGGAAUUUUGGACAAUGGGCGAAAGCCUGAUCCAGCCAUGCCGCGUGCAGGAUGAAGGCCUUCGGGUUGUAAACUGCUUUUGUACGGAACGAAAAGGUUUGGCCUAAUAAGCUGAGCUCAUGACGGUACCGUAAGAAUAAGCACCGGCUAACUACGUGCCAGCCGCCGCAGUAA
This 500-nucleotide ribosomal RNA is filed under the name uncultured bacterium. RNAcentral's name for it is "partial 16S ribosomal RNA". It matches the Rfam family "Bacterial small subunit ribosomal RNA", at positions 30 to 523 of the family's 1533-position model. The record is from RNAcentral.